GUACACGCUGUGACUAGCAUAUCAAUAAGCGGAGGAAAAGAAACUAACUAGGAUUCCCUCAGUAACGGCGAGUGAAGCGGGAAGAGCUCAAAUUUGAAAUCUUCAAGGUUCUACCUUGACGAAUUGUAGUUUAAAGAAGUGUUUUCUGUUGAAGUUUUGGUAAAAGUUCUUUGGAAUAGGACAUCAUAGAGGGUGAGAAUCCCGUAUUUGACCAUUAUUUUCAGCUGUGUGAUACACUUUCAAAGAGUCGGGUUGUUUGGGAAUGCAGCCCAAAACGGGAGGUAAAUUUCUUCUAAGGCUAAAUAUUGGCGAGAGACCGAUAGCGAACAAGUACCGUGAGGGAAAGAUGAAAAGAACUUUGAAAAGAGAGUUAAAUAGUACGUGAAAUUGUCAAAAGGGAAGCGUUUAACACCAGUGUUGUUUUCUGAAAAUCAACCUCUGUUAGCUUUAUGCAUGUUUGUUUAGACCUAAUCAGCUAAUCUUUCAUGCUUCUAUUGUUUGCAGUGGUGCACUUUUCAGUUUGCAGGUCAACAUCAGUUUUUUUUACCGUAAAAAAGUUAAAGAAAGGUAGCUCAUGGCUCCGGUCGUGAGUGUUAUAGUCUUUUUCCUAUGCGGUAGGAGAGACUGAGGUCUGCAGUGUAGGCUAUUUGGCUAGAUACUCAGGUGCUAUGUGAUACCAUUUCAUAAACAACUUGUUGAUUAUGUUUUGUCUAUUGCAUACUCGCUUGUACUAUCAUACCUACGCUUAGGAUGUUGAAGACUCUACAGAGAUA
Molecule: ribosomal RNA, 773 nt
Filed under: uncultured Neocallimastigales
Lineage: Eukaryota; Fungi; Neocallimastigomycota; Neocallimastigomycetes; Neocallimastigales
Description: partial large subunit ribosomal RNA
Rfam family: Eukaryotic large subunit ribosomal RNA (bases 4-663)
Source: RNAcentral